This 232-nucleotide long non-coding RNA is filed under the name Ananas comosus (pineapple). RNAcentral describes it as "long non-coding RNA (ACOM_LNC043350)". The record is from RNAcentral. Lineage: Eukaryota; Viridiplantae; Streptophyta; Magnoliopsida; Poales; Bromeliaceae.
AACACACAAGAGAGAGUGUGUGUAUGUGUGGGUUGUAAUCUCUUUUCUAAGUAGUGGAGUACUUAGUUUUUUUGAGUGAACCUCUGCCUCUCUCUCUUUGUCAUUCCCUUUGCAUACUUAGUCGUAGGACGCGAAGGUCCGGACUAGCAAUAGGGACGAAGGCUUGCCCAUCUUCGAGCAGGAAGGCGGGCGCCACACGGACUUUGCGAACAGAACCGCUAAGGCCGUGACA